GGGCCCGCACAAGCGGUGGAGCAUGUGGUUUAAUUCGAUGAUACGCGAGGAACCUUACCAGGGCUUAAAUGUAGAGCGACAGAGGUGGAAACACCUCCUUCUUCGGACGGUCUACAAGGUGCUGCAUGGUUGUCGUCAGCUCGUGCUGUGAAGUGUCGGGUUAAGUCCCAUAACGAGCGCAACCCCUAUUUCUAGUUGCCAGCGGUUCGGCCGGGGACUCUAGAGAAACUGCCAGCGUAAGCUGUGAGGAAGGUGGGGAUGACGUCAAAUCAUCACGGCCCUUACGUCCUGGGCCACACACGUGCUACAAUGGUGGAGACAGAGAGUUGCCAACCCGCGAGGGUGAGCUAAUCUUCAAACUCCAUCUCAGUUCGGAUAGGAGUCUGCAACUCGACUCCUUGAAGUUGGAGUCGCUAG
RNAcentral lists this ribosomal RNA (417 nucleotides) under uncultured bacterium. Its description in RNAcentral is "bacterial SSU rRNA". It matches the Rfam family "Bacterial small subunit ribosomal RNA", at positions 917 to 1338 of the family's 1533-position model. The record is from RNAcentral.